This 253-nucleotide ribosomal RNA is filed under the name uncultured bacterium. RNAcentral's name for it is "partial 16S ribosomal RNA". It matches the Rfam family "Bacterial small subunit ribosomal RNA", at positions 524 to 776 of the family's 1533-position model. The record is from RNAcentral.
UACGUAGGGUGCGAGCGUUAAUCGGAAUUACUGGGCGUAAAGCGUGCGUAGGCGGUUCGUUAAGUUCGUUGUGAAAGCCCCGGGCUCAACCUGGGAAUGGCAAUGGAAACUGGCGGGCUUGAGUAUGGCAGAGGGGGGUGGAAUUCCGCGUGUAGCAGUGAAAUGCGUAGAGAUGCGGAGGAACACCGAUGGCGAAGGCAGCCCCCUGGGUCGACACUGACGCUCAUGCACGAAAGCGUGGGGAGCAAACAGG